AACACAGAGAGCUAGUGAGAAAGAGAAAGAGAUACAGAGAGGUAUUUAGUUGAGGUGGAGGAGAGAAAAGAAGAGGUAGAAGAUGGGGUGAUAUUAUUCUCAUGAUGAUAAUAAGUUCUUGUUAAUGGUGGUGACUUUAAUUAAUAAUCAUAGUGUCCAUGAUUUUGGAGAGGAGUUAAUCAAUCUAUCAAAUCAAGUUUCAUAGGGAGGAGGCUCUGCUGCAGUAUGAUUGUCUUGACUAAAGUCGCUAAUCACAUUAAUUGAUUCCAUCAUGACUUUGGUUCUGACGUUGUAUACCCAGAAGGCACGACUGUAAGAAGCAUAGCCAAGAAAAAUUCCUUCGUCACUUUUGGAGUCAAAUAUUCCUCUAUGUUCUCUGUGUUUGAGAAUAUAGCAUUUGCUUCCGAAAACCCUUAAAUAGCUUAGAUUGGGUUUUCUUCCAUAACAUAAUUCAUAUGGGGUAUUUAGAGUUUUGGAUCUUAAAUAAACUCUGUUUAUAAGAUAACAAGCUGUAAAAACGGCUUCCCCCCAAAAGGUCAAUGGUAGGUUUUUAUUGUGAAGCAUCACUCUUGCCAUCUCUUGAAUAUUUCUAUUCUUUCUCUCAGCUACACCAUUUGCCUAAGGUGUAAUAGGUGCAGAGAAUUGAUGGAUAAUUCCAAGAUCAUUGCAGUAUUC
Papaver somniferum (opium poppy) is the source of this 675-nucleotide long non-coding RNA. RefSeq lists it as uncharacterized. The record is from RefSeq and is a predicted model, not a curated record. Lineage: Eukaryota; Viridiplantae; Streptophyta; Magnoliopsida; Ranunculales; Papaveraceae. The transcript is spliced from 2 exons.